RNAcentral lists this long non-coding RNA (1450 nucleotides) under Olea europaea (common olive). RNAcentral describes it as "long non-coding RNA (OEUR_LNC000036)". Lineage: Eukaryota; Viridiplantae; Streptophyta; Magnoliopsida; Lamiales; Oleaceae. The record is from RNAcentral.
UUUUACAAAUUUACAAUUUAGUCAUUUUGUCUACAGAAUAGCCAAUUACACCUUUAGACCUAACAAAAGUCAUAUGAUUGCUAGGUUGUAAGUUUUGAGGAUCAAUUGUAUGGGAUUGAUUUGUAUCUGAAGUUUGGACAAAAGGCAAGUUUGGUAGGUAAGGCAUUCCUUUGGUAUUUGGCUGAUCAGUACCUUUGUAAGGAAAGAUAUUUUCAUGGAAUAUGACAUUCCUUGAGAUGAAGAUCUUCUCAAUUUCUAAAUCCAGUAGCUUGUAUCCUUUCAUUCCAAAUGGAUAUCCUAAGAAAAUACACCGUCUCGCUCUUGGAUCAAACUUAUGUCUGCCUUGAGUUAAGGUAGUUGCAAAGGCUAAGCAUCCAAAAACUUUCAGAUGGGAAUAGUUUGGCUUGAUUUUAAAGAGGAGUUCAAAAGGUGUUUUGUGAUUUAAGAGAGGUGAAGGGGUUCUGUUUAUGAGGUAAACUGCUGUGAGCACACAAUCAUUCCAAUAUUUCAUGGAAAUUCUGCUUUGAAAUCGUAAUGCCCUUGCUACAUUGAGAAUGUGUUGAUGCUUCCUUUCCACAACUAAAUUUUGUUAUGGAGUUUCAACACAGGACAUUUGAUGUACAAUUCCUUUCUCAUGGAAAAAGGUUUUCAUAUUGAAUUCUCGACCAUUGUCACUUCUAAUUAUCUUUAUUUUGGUUUCAAACUGGUUUUCAAUCAUGUUACAAAAACCUUGUAAAACAGUGCCAAUAUCAAAUUUAUUUUUCAAAGUAUAAAUCCAAGUACAUUUGAUGUAGGUUUCAACUAUCGUUAAGAAGUAUCUUGAGCCAUCAUAGGCAACCUUACUACAUGGUCCCCAAAGAUCACAAUGAACUAAAUCAAAGCAAUUUUUUUACUGAUGCUGACCAACUGGGAAAGGUAGCUUAUGCAUUUUGGCUAGAGGACAUAUCAUGCAGGGUUUGGAAGUUUUGUUGCUACCUAAGAACUCAAGAGUUAUAGAUGAAAAAUUCCCUAAUCUAUUGUGUUAGAGAUCAUAUUCUUCAGUUUGCAUGGCAGCAGCUGUUGUCAUAGUUACAGUGUCGAGAAAGGCUAAUGGUGAAAUUUCUUUUUGCUGCAGUUGAUACAAGCCAUGUCUCAUCUCACCCAUUCCAAUCGUUCUCCAAGUCAAAAGGUCCUGAAUGAAGCACAUUUGAGACAAAAAAACGAGAUAGCAGUUCAAAGAAGAAGUUAAUUUUCUAGCUGAAAUUAAGUUGAAGGAGAAAGAUGGAACAAAUAGUACAUCAUGUAAAAAUAGUGUUUCUGAAGUUCUUACUGUCCCUAUAUGAGUGACAGCAACUCUAUUGUCAUUAGGAAGUGAAACAGAAUAGGCGACCUGUGCCGUGAUCUUAGUAAAUAGGGAAAUGUCACAGAUCAUAUGAUCUGUGGCACCUGUGUCUAGAAUCCAAGAUGUAUU